AUUUAUAUAGUAUAAAGUAAUAAUAUAUUUAAUUUCCAAUUAAAAGAUUUAUUUAAAUAGUUAAUAUAAAUU
This 72-nucleotide transfer RNA is filed under the name Capitonius sp. QL-2013. RNAcentral's name for it is "tRNA-Gly". The record is from RNAcentral. Lineage: Eukaryota; Metazoa; Arthropoda; Insecta; Hymenoptera; Braconidae.